This 450-nucleotide ribosomal RNA is filed under the name uncultured bacterium. RNAcentral's name for it is "partial 16S ribosomal RNA". It matches the Rfam family "Bacterial small subunit ribosomal RNA", at positions 354 to 796 of the family's 1533-position model. The record is from RNAcentral.
GUCGAGAAUAAUUCACAAUGGACGAAAGUCUGAUGGUGCAACGCCGCGUGGAGGAUGAAGGUCUUCGGAUUGUAAACUCCUGUCAUCGGGGAGUAAGACCUGGCGGUAAAUAGCCGACAGGGUUGAUAGUACCCGAAGAGGAAGGGACGGCUAACUUCGUGCCAGCAGCCGCGGUAAUACGAAGGUCCCAAGCGUUGUUCGGAAUCACUGGGCGUAAAGGGAGCGUAGGCGGCGUGGUAAGUCAGAUGUGAAAUCCCGGGGCUCAACCCCGGAACUGCAUCCGAUACUGCCAUGCGUGAGGGGUGGAGAGGUAGCUGGAAUUCUCGGUGUAGCAGUGAAAUGCGUGGAUAUCGAGAGGAACACUCGUGGCGAAGGCGAGUUACUGGACAGCAUCUGACGCUGAGGCACGAAGGCCAGGGGAGCGAAAGGGAUUAGAAACCCGGGUAGUCC